GACUCGGUGGCGGACGGUCCGCGUCUGUUCAAAAUGAGUGUGCCCGAGCCUACUUGAGACAGUACUUCAGAAGCCGCCUGUUCGACUCAGGCCCGAGUCG
Molecule: non-coding RNA, 100 nt
Organism: Mycena vulgaris
Lineage: Eukaryota; Fungi; Basidiomycota; Agaricomycetes; Agaricales; Mycenaceae
Source: the annotation of a GenBank genome assembly